RNAcentral lists this ribosomal RNA (478 nucleotides) under uncultured Bacteroidota bacterium. RNAcentral's name for it is "bacterial SSU rRNA". It matches the Rfam family "Bacterial small subunit ribosomal RNA", at positions 28 to 505 of the family's 1533-position model. Lineage: Bacteria; Pseudomonadati; Bacteroidota. The record is from RNAcentral.
GACGAACGCUAGCGGCAGGCCUAAUACAUGCAAGUCGAACGGUAAGGUCCCUUCGGGGAUACACGAGUGGCGGACGGGUGCGUAACGCGUAUACAACCUACCCUUGAGAGGGGGAUAAUCUGAAGAAAUUCAUUUGUAAUACCCCAUAGUUACUAAAUAGGGCAUCCUAUUAAGUAUAAAGCUCCGGCGCUCACGGAUGGGUAUGCGUGACAUUAGUUAGAUGGCGAGGUAACGGCUCACCAUGACAAUGAUGUCUAGCUGGUCUGAGAGGAUGAUCAGCCACACGGGCACUGAGACACGGGCCCGACUCCUACGGGAGGCAGCAGUAAGGAAUAUUGGUCAAUGGGGGCAACCCUGAACCAGCCAUGCCGCGUGGAGGAAGACGGUUCUCUGAAUUGUAAACUCCUUUUGUCAGGGACUAAAGUGGAGCUAUACGCUCUUUUGCAGGUACCUGAAGAAUAAGCACCGGCUAACUACG